GUUUUAAUAGUUUAAAUAAAAUAAUGAUCUUGUAAAUCAUAGAUAGUGUAAACUUUAAAACU
This 62-nucleotide transfer RNA is filed under the name Aquarius elongatus. Its description in RNAcentral is "tRNA-Thr". The record is from RNAcentral. Lineage: Eukaryota; Metazoa; Arthropoda; Insecta; Hemiptera; Gerridae.